This 221-nucleotide long non-coding RNA is filed under the name Homo sapiens (human). RNAcentral's name for it is "HSALNT0382681". Lineage: Eukaryota; Metazoa; Chordata; Mammalia; Primates; Hominidae. The record is from RNAcentral.
CAGGCCUUCAGCUGCCGGCUGCAGCCCCACCCAUUUCCUUCACAUUGAAGUGUUCUGCCUCUGCUGCCUGUCCCCAUCCUACCCCAGCGCAGGCACUGGGAAGCACUUCUCCAUUCACAACGCCCCUUCACAAAGAGGUCUCGGUGGAACCUUACAAUAGGACGCACACAAAGUCCACUUGACCGGAAAACCGAGGCCAGACCACACCGUCAGUGCCAAAC